This 1729-nucleotide ribosomal RNA is filed under the name Salmonella enterica subsp. enterica serovar Heidelberg str. SARA32. RNAcentral's name for it is "bacterial LSU rRNA". It matches the Rfam family "Bacterial large subunit ribosomal RNA", at positions 1221 to 2925 of the family's 2925-position model. The record is from RNAcentral. Lineage: Bacteria; Pseudomonadati; Pseudomonadota; Gammaproteobacteria; Enterobacterales; Enterobacteriaceae.
UUGUUGGGUAGGGGAGCGUUCUGUAAGCCUGUGAAGGUGUGUCGUGAGGCAUGCUGGAGGUAUCAGAAGUGCGAAUGCUGACAUAAGUAACGAUAAAGCGGGUGAAAAGCCCGCUCGCCGGAAGACCAAGGGUUCCUGUCCAACGUUAAUCGGGGCAGGGUGAGUCGACCCCUAAGGCGAGGCCGAAAGGCGUAGUCGAUGGGAAACGGGUUAAUAUUCCCGUACUUGGUGUUACUGCGAAGGGGGGACGGAGAAGGCUAUGUUGGCCGGGCGACGGUUGUCCCGGUUUAAGCGUGUAGGUGUGUGUUCCAGGUAAAUCCGGUUCACUUUAACACUGAGGCGUGACGACGAGGCACUACGGUGCUGAAGCAACAAAUGCCCUGCUUCCAGGAAAAGCCUCUAAGCAUCAGGUAACAUCAAAUCGUACCCCAAACCGACACAGGUGGUCAGGUAGAGAAUACCAAGGCGCUUGAGAGAACUCGGGUGAAGGAACUAGGCAAAAUGGUGCCGUAACUUCGGGAGAAGGCACGCUGACACGUAGGUGAAGUGAUUUACUCAUGGAGCUGAAGUCAGUCGAAGAUACCAGCUGGCUGCAACUGUUUAUUAAAAACACAGCACUGUGCAAACACGAAAGUGGACGUAUACGGUGUGACGCCUGCCCGGUGCCGGAAGGUUAAUUGAUGGGGUCAGCGCAAGCGAAGCUCCUGAUCGAAGCCCCGGUAAACGGCGGCCGUAACUAUAACGGUCCUAAGGUAGCGAAAUUCCUUGUCGGGUAAGUUCCGACCUGCACGAAUGGCGUAAUGAUGGCCAGGCUGUCUCCACCCGAGACUCAGUGAAAUUGAACUCGCUGUGAAGAUGCAGUGUACCCGCGGCAAGACGGAAAGACCCCGUGAACCUUUACUAUAGCUUGACACUGAACAUUGAGCCUUGAUGUGUAGGAUAGGUGGGAGGCUUUGAAGUGUGGACGCCAGUCUGCAUGGAGCCGACCUUGAAAUACCACCCUUUAAUGUUUGAUGUUCUAACGUGGACCCGUUACCCGGGUUGCGGACAGUGUCUGGUGGGUAGUUUGACUGGGGCGGUCUCCUCCUAAAGAGUAACGGAGGAGCACGAAGGUUGGCUAAUCCUGGUCGGACAUCAGGAGGUUAGUGCAAUGGCAUAAGCCAGCUUGACUGCGAGCGUGACGGCGCGAGCAGGUGCGAAAGCAGGUCAUAGUGAUCCGGUGGUUCUGAAUGGAAGGGCCAUCGCUCAACGGAUAAAAGGUACUCCGGGGAUAACAGGCUGAUACCGCCCAAGAGUUCAUAUCGACGGCGGUGUUUGGCACCUCGAUGUCGGCUCAUCACAUCCUGGGGCUGAAGUAGGUCCCAAGGGUAUGGCUGUUCGCCAUUUAAAGUGGUACGCGAGCUGGGUUUAGAACGUCGUGAGACAGUUCGGUCCCUAUCUGCCGUGGGCGCUGGAGAACUGAGGGGGGCUGCUCCUAGUACGAGAGGACCGGAGUGGACGCAUCACUGGUGUUCGGGUUGUCAUGCCAAUGGCACUGCCCGGUAGCUAAAUGCGGAAGAGAUAAGUGCUGAAAGCAUCUAAGCACGAAACUUGCCCCGAGAUGAGUUCUCCCUGAGACUUAGAGUCUCCUGAAGGAACGUUGAAGACGACGACGUUGAUAGGCCGGGUGUGUAAGCGCAGCGAUGCGUUGAGCUAACCGGUACUAAUGAACCGUGAGGCUUAACCUUAC